RNAcentral lists this ribosomal RNA (490 nucleotides) under uncultured bacterium. RNAcentral describes it as "partial 16S ribosomal RNA". It matches the Rfam family "Bacterial small subunit ribosomal RNA", at positions 28 to 507 of the family's 1533-position model. The record is from RNAcentral.
GAUGAACGCUAGCUACAGGCUUAACACAUGCAAGUCGAGGGGCAGCAUGGUCUUAGCUUGCUAAGGCCGAUGGCGACCGGCGCACGGGUGAGUAACACGUAUCCAACCUGCCGUCUACUCUUGGACAGCCUUCUGAAAGGAAGAUUAAUACAAGAUGGCAUCAUGAGUCCGCAUGUUCACAUGAUUAAAGGUAUUCCGGUAGACGAUGGGGAUGCGUUCCAUUAGAUAGUAGGCGGGGUAACGGCCCACCUAGUCUUCGAUGGAUAGGGGUUCUGAGAGGAAGGUCCCCCACAUUGGAACUGAGACACGGUCCAAACUCCUACGGGAGGCAGCAGUGAGGAAUAUUGAUCAAUGGGCGCAGGCCUGAACCAGCCAAGUAGCGUGAAGGAUGACUGCCCUAUGGGUUGUAAACUUCUUUUAUAAAGGAAUAAAGUCGGGUAUGUAUACCCGUUUGCAUGUACCUUAUGAAUAAGGAUCGGCUAACUCCGUG